RNAcentral lists this long non-coding RNA (1253 nucleotides) under Helianthus annuus (common sunflower). Its description in RNAcentral is "hypothetical non coding rna". The record is from RNAcentral. Lineage: Eukaryota; Viridiplantae; Streptophyta; Magnoliopsida; Asterales; Asteraceae.
UUUCUUUCUUCUUCUCUCUAUACGUUGGUGUUCUAACCAAUAAUCAUUCAAUCGCUAUUACGAUUCAUUUUCCGACCGAUCAAUAUAUCCAAUGGAUGUUUAAGUGCCGCCCACAUUAGGGUUAUACUUUGUCGUUUUUAGUAAAAUGAAUGAUUCACUCAGUAUUUCCCGCUGACAAAACCUUUUUAAAACGCGUUUCAGGUAAUUACAAUAGAUUGGAAUAAGGAUUGGAUCCGACACUGAAGGACUUCAAGAAGUGGCUUAUUUUAUUAAUUAAAUCAACUUAAGAAAUAUUGUUUUUGGAUUUAUCCCGUAUUAAAAGCUACCUUUGUAAAAACAUGGAAUUUAUUCCAUCUAUUUAAAUAAAAAAAUCCGGUGUUUCUAAAACUCUGAUAAUUUUCCUAACUCACGGUCCUGAUGAAAUUUCCGCUGCAAUGUUUUUAAAAUAAUCACCGGUACCACUUGACUGCUCGCGACUUCCGAUUCCUGCCAGGAUGGGGUCGGGGGUCGUGACAGAAGGUGUUAGGAGAUUGCUAUUAACUGGUAGCACAUCUGAUAGCAUUUAGACUUGAACAUAAGAAAAGAUGCCUUAGUAUAAACUAAGCCACUUGUUUAGAGCAAGCAGGUGUUAUAAUAAUAAUACCUAAGCUUAAACGGAAAAUUAGAAACUUAAUAUUAUCUGAUAGCACUCUGAAUGAUAUUUAGACUCGAACUUAAGAAUUUUGUCUUAAUAUAAGCUUCAAGAUAAAAUUACUUAUAUAAGUAUAAAUAAGUAUAAUGUAACAGAUAUUGGUAUUCCAUAAAAAUAACGACUAGCAAGCAAUAGCAUUUAAUUGCUAUUUAUUCUUGUUUAUUGAUAUUACUUGGUCAAGAAUAAAAAUAUAUUAUGGAAAUACAAAUUUUCUUGAUUCUGGAUUAAAGCCCUAAUAAAAAGAGACACUUUUUGAAAAGAUACUAUUUAUGGGAAAUAGGAAAUUCUCUCCGGCAAACCUGGGUAUAGAGUAGCAGACUCUCCAGCUUGUCCGGAUAUACUAAAAUUACCGCUCCGGCGCGAACCGGAUAAGACGGGAUAAAUGGUAUGUCAAAACAGUAACAAGAUUUCCCUAAAUAGUAUCAUGACCAAAUAUCUGACUGGUUUUUUUGAAAUAUGAAUCUGAUAAAUACAUUGACCUUAUAAAAGGUAUGUAUAUUACAGCAUGUGAAAUAUUUGAUUAUAUAGAUAUGUAUAAGAAAUUCCAAAAACCUUAACGAUU